GGCCUCCUGGUACUUACCACAGGCUGUGUUCAUACACUGACUGUACAGAAAGAAGAAGCAAAUUAAACCUCCCCACAUACACCUCAGCCCAGGACCUGUGCCUGGUCUGUAUUGUGAAUGGGGAGACAUGG
RNAcentral lists this small nucleolar RNA (131 nucleotides) under Castor canadensis (American beaver). Its description in RNAcentral is "Small nucleolar RNA SNORA51 (ENSCCNG00000017091.1)". It matches the Rfam family "Small nucleolar RNA SNORA51". Rfam says of the family: ACA51 is a member of the H/ACA class of snoRNA that guide the sites of modification of uridines to pseudouridines. The record is from Rfam by way of RNAcentral. Lineage: Eukaryota; Metazoa; Chordata; Mammalia; Rodentia; Castoridae.